GAUGAACGCUGGCGGCGUGCCUAAUACAUGCAAGUCGAGCGAACGGACGAGAAGCUUGCUUCUCUGAUGUUAGCGGCGGACGGGUGAGUAACACGUGGAUAACCUACCUAUAAGACUGGGAUAACUUCGGGAAACCGGAGCUAAUACCGGAUAAUAUUUUGAACCGCAUGGUUCAAAAGUGAAAGACGGUCUUGCUGUCACUUAUAGAUGGAUCCGCGCUGCAUUAGCUAGUUGGUAAGGUAACGGCUUACCAAGGCAACGAUGCAUAGCCGACCUGAGAGGGUGAUCGGCCACACUGGAACUGAGACACGGUCCAGACUCCUACGGGAGGCAGCAGUAGGGAAUCUUCCGCAAUGGGCGAAAGCCUGACGGAGCAACGCCGCGUGAGUGAUGAAGGUCUUCGGAUCGUAAAACUCUGUUAUUAGGGAAGAACAUAUGUGUAAGUAACUGUGCACAUCUUGACGGUACCUAAUCAGAAAGCCACGGCUAACUACGUGCCAGCAGCCGCGGUAAUACGUAGGUGGCAAGCGUUAUCCGGAAUUAUUGGGCGUAAAGCGCGCGUAGGCGGUUUUUUAAGUCUGAUGUGAAAGCCCACGGCUCAACCGUGGAGGGUCAUUGGAAACUGGAAAACUUGAGUGCAGAAGAGGAAAGUGGAAUUCCAUGUGUAGCGGUGAAAUGCGCAGAGAUAUGGAGGAACACCUGUGGCGAAGGCGACUUUCUGGUCUGUAACUGACGCUGAUGUGCGAAAGCGUGGGGAUCAAACAGGAUUAGAUACCCUGGUAGUCCACGCCGUAAACGAUGAGUGCUAAGUGUUAGGGGGUUUCCGCCCCUUAGUGCUGCAGCUAACGCAUUAAGCACUCCGCCUGGGGAGUACGACCGCAAGGUUGAAACUCAAAGGAAUUGACGGGGACCCGCACAAGCGGUGGAGCAUGUGGUUUAAUUCGAAGCAACGCGAAGAACCUUACCAAAUCUUGACAUCCUUUGACAACUCUAGAGAUAGAGCUUUCCCCUUCGGGGGACAAAGUGACAGGUGGUGCAUGGUUGUCGUCAGCUCGUGUCGUGAGAUGUUGGGUUAAGUCCCGCAACGAGCGCAACCCUUAAGCUUAGUUGCCAUCAUUAAGUUGGGCACUCUAAGUUGACUGCCGGUGACAAACCGGAGGAAGGUGGGGAUGACGUCAAAUCAUCAUGCCCCUUAUGAUUUGGGCUACACACGUGCUACAAUGGACAAUACAAAGGGCAGCGAAACCGCGAGGUCAAGCAAAUCCCAUAAAGUUGUUCUCAGUUCGGAUUGUAGUCUGCAACUCGACUACAUGAAGCUGGAAUCGCUAGUAAUCGUAGAUCAGCAUGCUACGGUGAAUACGUUCCCGGGUCU
Molecule: ribosomal RNA, 1372 nt
Filed under: uncultured bacterium
Lineage: Bacteria
Description: bacterial SSU rRNA
Rfam family: Bacterial small subunit ribosomal RNA
Source: RNAcentral